GGAAUCUUGCGCAAUGGGCGAAAGCCUGACGCAGCGACGCCGCGUGCGGGAAGAAGGCCUUCGGGUUGUAAACCGCUUUCAGGAGGGACGAAGCCACUCGGGUUAAUAGCCCAGAGGGUGACGGUACCUCCCGAAGAAGCCCAGGCCAACUACGUGCCAGCAGCCGCGGUAAUACGUAGGGGGCGAGCGUUGUCCGGAUUUAUUGGGCGUAAAGAGCUCGUAGGCGGCUUAGCAAGUCGGAUGUGAAAACUUCAGGCUCAACCGGGAGAUGGCAUUCGAUACUGCCAUGGCUAGAGUCCGGUAGGGGACCACGGAAUUCCUGGUGUAGCGGUGAAAUGCGCAGAUAUCAGGAGGAACACCGGUGGCGAAGGCGGUGGUCUGGGCCGGCACUGACGCUGAGGAGCGAAAGCGUGGGGAGCAAAC
Molecule: ribosomal RNA, 423 nt
Filed under: uncultured bacterium
Lineage: Bacteria
Description: bacterial SSU rRNA
Rfam family: Bacterial small subunit ribosomal RNA
Source: RNAcentral